RNAcentral lists this ribosomal RNA (644 nucleotides) under uncultured Actinomycetes bacterium. RNAcentral describes it as "bacterial SSU rRNA". It matches the Rfam family "Bacterial small subunit ribosomal RNA", at positions 232 to 885 of the family's 1533-position model. The record is from RNAcentral. Lineage: Bacteria; Bacillati; Actinomycetota; Actinomycetes.
CGCGGCCUAUCAGCUUGUUGGUGGGGUGAUGGCCUACCAAGGCGGUGACGGGUAGCCGGCCUGAGAGGGCGACCGGCCACACUGGGACUGAGACACGGCCCAGACUCCUACGGGAGGCAGCAGUGGGGAAUAUUGCGCAAUGGGCGGAAGCCUGACGCAGCGACGCCGCGUGGGGGAUGACGGCCUACGGGCUGUAAACCUCUUUCGCCAGGGACGAAGAGCAAUUGACGGUACCUGGAGAAGAAGCACCGGCCAACUACGUGCCAGCAGCCGCGGUAACACGUAGGGUGCGAGCGUUGUCCGGAAUUAUUGGGCGUAAAGAGCUCGUAGGCGGUGUGCCGCGUCGGCCGUGAAAACUUGGGGCUUAACUCUGAGCGUGCGGUCGAUACGGGCAUCGCUUGAGUUCGGCAGGGGAGACUGGAAUUCCUGGUGUAGCGGUGAAAUGCGCAGAUAUCAGGAGGAACACCGGUGGCGAAGGCGGGUCUCUGGGCCGAUACUGACGCUGAGGAGCGAAAGCGUGGGGAGCGAACAGGAUUAGAUACCCUGGUAGUCCACGCCGUAAACGUUGGGCGCUAGGUGUGGGGACCAUUCCACGGUUUCUGUGCCGCAGCUAACGCAUUAAGCGCCCCGCCUGGGGAGUACGG